CCUACGGGUGACAGCAGUGAGGAAUAUUGGUCAAUGGACGGGAGUCUGAACCAGCCAUGCCGCGUGCAGGAAGACGGCUCUAUGAGUUGUAAACUGCUUUUGUACAAGGGUAAACCUGAAUACGUGUAUUCAGCUGAAAGUACUGUACGAAUAAGGAUCGGCUAACUCCGUGCCAGCAGCCGCGGUAAUACGGAGGAUCCAAGCGUUAUCCGGAUUUAUUGGGUUUAAAGGGGGCGUAGGUGGAUUGAUAAGUUAGAGGUGAAAUGUUCGGGCUCAACUCGGGAACUGCAUUUAAUACUGUUGAUCUAGAGAACAGAAGCGGUAGGCGGAAUGUAUGGUGUAGCGGUGAAAUGCUUAGAGAUCAUACAGAACACCGAUUGCGAAGGCAGCUUACCAAUCUAUAUCUGACGUUGAGGCACGAAAGCGUGGGGAGCAAACAGGAUUAGAUACCCUAGUAGUC
Molecule: ribosomal RNA, 460 nt
Filed under: uncultured bacterium
Lineage: Bacteria
Description: partial 16S ribosomal RNA
Rfam family: Bacterial small subunit ribosomal RNA
Source: RNAcentral